GUCCAUGCCGUAAACGGUGGGCGCUAGGUGUAGGGACUUCCACGUCUUCUGUGCCGCAGCUAACGCAUUAAGCGCCCGCCUGGGAGUACGGCCGCAAGGCUAAACUCAAAGGAAUUGACGGGGCCCGCACAAGCGGCGGAGCAUGUGGAUUAAUUCGAUGCAACGCGAAGAACCUUACCUGGGCUUGACAUACACCAGAUCGCUGCAGAGAUGUAGCUUCCCUUGUGGCUGGUGUACAGGUGGUGCAUGGUUGUCGU
RNAcentral lists this ribosomal RNA (257 nucleotides) under uncultured bacterium. RNAcentral describes it as "partial 16S ribosomal RNA". It matches the Rfam family "Bacterial small subunit ribosomal RNA", at positions 793 to 1055 of the family's 1533-position model. The record is from RNAcentral.